This 70-nucleotide transfer RNA is filed under the name Eophona personata. RNAcentral describes it as "tRNA-Pro". It matches the Rfam family "tRNA". Rfam says of the family: Transfer RNA (tRNA) molecules are approximately 80 nucleotides in length. Lineage: Eukaryota; Metazoa; Chordata; Aves; Passeriformes; Fringillidae. The record is from RNAcentral.
CAGGGGGUAGUUUAGUCUAAAAUUCCAGCUUUGGGAGUUGGAGAUGAAGGUUUAAUUCCUUUCCCCUUGA